RNAcentral lists this ribosomal RNA (510 nucleotides) under uncultured bacterium. RNAcentral describes it as "partial 16S ribosomal RNA". It matches the Rfam family "Bacterial small subunit ribosomal RNA", at positions 28 to 507 of the family's 1533-position model. The record is from RNAcentral.
GACGAACGCUGGCGGCGUGCUUAACACAUGCAAGUCGAACGAAGAGCGAUGGAAGCUUGCUUCUAUCAAUCUUAGUGGCGAACGGGUGAGUAACGCGUAAUCAACCUGCCCUUCAGAGGGGGACAACAGUUGGAAACGACUGCUAAUACCGCAUACGAUCCAAUCUCGGCAUCGGGACUGGAUGAAAGGUGGCCUCUAUUUAUAAGCUAUCACUGAAGGAGGUGAUUGCGUCUGAUUAGCUAGUUGGAGGGGUAACGGCGCACCAAGGCGAUGAUCAGUAGCCGGUAUGAGAGGAUGAACGGCCACAUUGGGACUGAGACACGGCCCAGACUCCUACGGGAGGCAGCAGUGGGGAAUCUUCCGCAAUGGACGAAAGUCUGACGGAGCAACGCCGCGUGAGUGAUGACGGCCUUCGGGUUGUAAAGCUCUGUUAAUCGGGACGAAUGGUUCUUGUGCGAAUAGUGCGAGGAUGUGACGGUACCGGAAUAGAAAGCCACGGCUAACUACGUG